RNAcentral lists this long non-coding RNA (204 nucleotides) under Carica papaya (papaya). Its description in RNAcentral is "long non-coding RNA (CPAP_LNC007050)". The record is from RNAcentral. Lineage: Eukaryota; Viridiplantae; Streptophyta; Magnoliopsida; Brassicales; Caricaceae.
CGUGCAUCUGGGCCGUCCGUGCGCACGCUUGAUCUGGGCCGUCCGUGCGUGCGGGGACGCAUCUGGGCCGUCCGAUCGCGCGCACACGGAUCGCCCACGUGGCCCGUUCCCGGGUCGACGUGGUCUUGCCACGCGGUAGGUCCUGGUUGGCCAGGGCUGCUGACUGGGCCGCUGACGUGGCUGCUGACGUGGCGCUGACGGGGC